Lemur catta (Ring-tailed lemur) is the source of this 259-nucleotide long non-coding RNA. RefSeq lists it as uncharacterized. NCBI's taxonomy places the organism in Eukaryota, Metazoa, Chordata, Mammalia, Primates, Lemuridae. The record is from RefSeq and is a predicted model, not a curated record. The transcript is spliced from 3 exons.
GUCGACACACACUGGUCUUCGUAGACAGCGAGAGGCAGAGUCCUGCAACCCGGCUCUCUUUCUGAAAGCGGGAAUAUGUUCUAUGAUAGGAAGACACGAUGGCAGGUCCAAUGUCAAGCUGCUUGGAUGACCUUCGAGUCAGAGACUAGGUCUUGCUCUAUCACCCAGGUUAUGGUGCAGUGUGUGAUCAUAUAUCCCUCCAGCCUCAAAUUCCUGUGCUCAAGCGAUCCUCCAGCCUCAGCCUCUGGAGUAGCUGGGA